CCUACGGGAGGCAGCAGUCGGGAAUUUUGCGCAAUGGACGAAAGUCUGACGCAGCAACGCCGCGUGAGGGAUGAAGGCCUUCGGGUUGUAAACCUCUUUUAUCAGGGAAGAUGAUGACGGUACCUGAUGAAUAAGUCACGGCUAACUACGUGCCAGCAGCCGCGGUAAU
This 169-nucleotide ribosomal RNA is filed under the name uncultured bacterium. Its description in RNAcentral is "partial 16S ribosomal RNA". It matches the Rfam family "Bacterial small subunit ribosomal RNA", at positions 338 to 524 of the family's 1533-position model. The record is from RNAcentral.